GACGAACGCUGGCGGCGUGCUUAACACAUGCAAGUCGAACGGAAAGGCCCUGCUUGCAGGGUACUCGAGUGGCGAACGGGUGAGUAACACGUGGGUGAUCUGCCCUGCACUUCGGGUUAAGCCUGGGAAACUGGGCCUAAUACCGGAUAGGAGCCAUUUUUAGUGUGAUGGUUGGAAAGUUUUUUCGGUGUUGGAUGUGGUGGCGGCGUAUCGGCUUGUUGGUGGGGUAAGGGCCUACCAAGGCGGGGGCGGGUAGCCGGCCUGAGGGGGUGGCCGGCCACACUGGCACCUACGGGAGGCCCAGACUGCGACGGGAGGCAGCAGUGGGGAAUCUUGACGGAGGGGCGCAAGGCGGAUGCAGCGAGGCCGCGUGGAGGAUGACGGCCUUAUGGUUGAAGAACCAAUUCGUUAGGGACGAAGCUUUUUGUGACGGUACCUAGAUAAGAAGCACCGGCUAACUACGUG
This 465-nucleotide ribosomal RNA is filed under the name uncultured bacterium. Its description in RNAcentral is "partial 16S ribosomal RNA". It matches the Rfam family "Bacterial small subunit ribosomal RNA", at positions 28 to 507 of the family's 1533-position model. The record is from RNAcentral.